Molecule: long non-coding RNA, 235 nt
Organism: Leptopilina boulardi
Lineage: Eukaryota; Metazoa; Arthropoda; Insecta; Hymenoptera; Figitidae
Exons: 3
Source: RefSeq, a predicted model, not a curated record
AGGGACUCUAAUACAGAUAGAGAAACGCAAUGUUAAACGAAGAAGUACUUAUGUUAUAUUCCUUGGUGUAAGAAAGAAAGAUUGCAGGUCAAGUGAACCCUCAUUUGCAAAAUAAAGAUAUAUCUUUCUCUCUCCAUAACUUGUUCUUUUCUCUGUCACCGAAAACCCAGCAGGGGUCCGGACGGAAUGAAUGAAUGGACGGAAUGAAGGAAUGAAUUCAAAGAUUAUUAUAGUU